AUGGUACCUUGUACCUUCAGACAUCCAAACAAUCCUUCCAUCUGGAUAGAAAUGAGCUGUAGAAUAGAAUUGCAUAAUGAGCUCAUCAUUCCACUUGGUCAAUUUCUGACCCACAAAGGUGUCUACUCCAUUGAGUAUGAAGCUCUCAUGUACUCCAGGGAAGUGGUUUUCAUUGUUGUCAAUAUACUUCCAAUCUACCCACUUUGUAUCACAUACAAUAGGCUUCUUAUCCAACCGAAUUGUCUCAUAGAAGUCUUGCUGCUCCUUGGUAUGAAAUCUAUAGUCCACAUCAGUCCUUCUCCUCACAGCAUAAGGGUCUGA
Molecule: ribosomal RNA, 321 nt
Filed under: Triticum aestivum (bread wheat)
Lineage: Eukaryota; Viridiplantae; Streptophyta; Magnoliopsida; Poales; Poaceae
Description: partial small subunit ribosomal RNA
Source: RNAcentral